CGACAGAGUGAGAUACUGUCUCAAAAAAACAAAAAAUACACACACACAAACACACACACACACACACAUAUAUAUAUAUAUAUACACACACACACACGUAUAUAUCCAUAUGUAUAAUGAUUCAGGUACAGAAUUCGAAAGAAAAGGGCAUUUUAUUUGUACACAUACACGUGUGUGUGUAUGUAUGAAAUGACGCCCUUUCAUGUAAAGGCAGGAAGUUUUAAAGCAAAAAAAUGGAAGGAGACAAGCAAAUACUCCCUUGUGUACCCCCAGAACCACUUAUUCUGGGCCACUAUUUUUUGAGUGGAGGAUGCUUUGUUUAAAGGGUUUGUUUUGUUUUUAUUUUUCAAACUUUAACCUGUCUGUGGACAGAUGCCUGUAGCCAAGAUUUCUGUCUCUUGGGCACAUGAGUAGGAGCCAGUCUGGAAGCUAGUGGGUUUUUCAUUUGAAUUACAAAUCUGCUAUAAAAUCGUCUAAGCUGUACAUUGCAUGGUUUCCUCUUGCAGCUCUCAAAUCGACUAGAAGUGGUGAAGGAAUUUCUGAGAAACAAUUUGGAUCUUAGAAAUGGCCUUACAGAAGAUAUGCAGAAGCUAGACAGCCUCCGUCUACAUCAGAAACUGGAUUCACAGGAACCUGGGAGACAGACACCUGACAGGAAGGCCUGAGGUUGCCUGUCAACAAAAAUCAGGCAUGUUCUGUGAAAGUCAGCAUGGCUUCUGUCUCACACAUCCUUUUCUGUGCAAAAGGAAAAAGUUACCAGACUAUUGUACCCAAACAAAACGGAAUUUUUGUUGUUUUGUCCUGGACUUUCCUCUCUUUGGAACUAUUUUAAUAUUUAUAAACUUGGGGUUGUAUAAUCUAUUGCAAUAAAAAUAUUACUCUUUGCCAAAACUUGCUACCAGGCCAGGCAUGAUGGCUCACACCUGUAAUCCCCAGCACUUUGGGAGGCCCAGGCGGGUGGAUCACCUGAGGCAAGGAGUUCGAGACCAGCCUGGCCAACAUAGCGAAACCCUGUCUCUACUGAAAAAAAAUACAAAAAUUAGCCGGGCGUGGUGACAUGUGCCUAUAAUCCCAGCUACUUACUCGGGAGGCUGAGGCAGGAGAAUCGCUUGAACCUAGGAGGCAGAGGUUGCAGUGAGCUGAGACCAUGCCACUGUACUCCAGCCUGGGCAAUAGAGCGAGAUUCUGUCUCCCAAAAAAACAAAAAACAACAACAAAACUUACUAUCAUCCAGGGAUUUUUUUGCUAUUUAAAAGGUGAAUUUCUUUUCUGGUCCUAAACUGUAACUGCUUAACUUAGUAAAGGCUGUGUUUGGCCAGGCCUGUGCCAAAGGCUUACCUGGAGUGCUCCACCCACUGGCAGGCAAGUCCUAUUCCUAUUCACCCAGGAUGCCCAAGGCUGGGCUGGGAUAUAAAUGCUGGAAUAGGAAAGAAAUAUUUCCUUUUUAGAGGAAAGCAAGAAGAAACAUUGCCUGAAAGGCGAUUUUCUAGUCGUUUCCAAUCAGUACAGAAAUGUUACUGCCUCUGGGUGCAGUGGCUCAUGCCUGUAAUCCCAGCACUGUGGGCGGAUCACUUGAGCCCAGGAGUUCAGUACCAACCUGGGCAAGUUGGCGAGACCCCAUCUCUACAAAAAAGUUAAAAAUUAUCUGGGCAUGGUGGCACACACCUUUAGUCUCAGCCACUCAGGUGGCUGAGGUGGGAGGAUCCCUUAAGCCCAGGUGGUCAAGGCUGUGGUGAGCUAUGAUCAUGCCACUGCACUCCAGCCUGGGUAACAGAACAAGACCCUGUCUCAAGAAAACCCCAAGAAACUAUUACUACUAGGUUGGAGUAGCCUAAGGCAGUAGGGCAAGGAGGUGGGCCCAGACUGGUCUGUGGGGAGCUGGAGAAUGGUGACUCGAGUGACCAGUGGACAGACAGGACCCAGGCCAGCAUCACAAGCAGGGAUGUCAGGCAGGAGCAGGGGAGCUUCUCGCUUGGCAGCUGGUUUAUGGUACACAUUUGAAAAGUAAGCUCCUGGGGCCUGGCCUCACAUGCUCAGUGAAUAUUUGACUGAAGGGCUCCUCUUAGCUUGGGAGUAUUCCCAGGCCUAAAUGUUAGUUAUGCUAUUAACUAAGCCUGGUCCUUCAUUACAAAAUUUAAAAAUGAAAUUGCAACAUUCUUGUGGAAAUUCAAAAACAUCAUCAUUUUCUUUCAACAAAUUCACACAUUCGUUCAUGCUUCUUCUAUACCUUUUACCCCUGAAGUCAUCCACUCCUGACUUCCUCCUGCUGGUUUCCCAAACUGCGCAAUGACUGCCCCAUCGUAGGCAGUGGUCUGUGAAGUCGGCCUCACUUUCACCUUUCCCCACAUCUACUUGUUUCCAAGGCCAGCGGUACUUAACUGGGUUAAGUUUCCUGUGGACCUUCAGGAACAGAAUUGCCAUGUUCCUCGCUGCCUGCAGGAAAGGCUCCAUUCCAAGCCCAGUGAAGGUGUGUGGCUAUCCAGCCGCCUACCAAGGAUGUCAUCUAUAGAAUGGGUGGAGGGCAGGGGUUUAUUUGGUGUACAUUUUUAUGUUAAAAUGCACUUAAUAUCACUUUGUAAAGCCCAGAUGAGUGCAGAUGUGCCUGUAACUUCCUCCUUUAAUCUGUCCAGGUAGUAUUUCAUCUUUAGUCUUACAUUUUCUUUCUCCCUUCAUUUCAUGGAAUUCCUUGAGAAAACUUCAACAGUGAAGAAAGAAAUUUCAUUCAUCUCACAACUCUUCCAAAUGAAGAAACUUAGCGAAAUAUUUCUGAGCUUCUAGAUGUGCAAUACAAAACUUGGGAUCAAAUGGAAUCUUGAUUCAUUAACCAAUUUAAGAUCUGACUUCUAAUUUUAGGAACUUUGGGUUAUGAACGCUUCCAUUUUAUACCUGUGUCUAGUUAGUUUGCCCACAAGCUUUUAUCAAGGGUCCACCAUGUGCCAGCCCCUGAAGUAGAUAUAAAUACAAGGAUGUGUAAGGUAUGGAUGAUGGUAUACGAGCUGUCAUCUUACUGGAUUUGUCCAGUCUGAUAAAGAUACGGUUCCGAAAACUUUUUAAAGCCCCAGAGAGGACUUUAAGGCAACGUAGCAUCAUAUAUAGAGACAUCAACCUGUUGAUAUCUUUCUAUUUAACGGAACUGUGCACCUGGGCACAAGGGUGUGCACAACAGGAUGUGUACAGUAGCACUGUUAAAAUGUAGCACAUUAUACUACAGGACCUUAUGCAACUGUUGGAAAGAAUGAAGCGAUGCUGCACUGUGGUCAUGCAGUGGUCUCUAAGACGUAUUAACUAGAAAAGCAAAAGGCUUAACAAUACAUAGCAGUCAGGUGCGGUGCCUCACGCCUGUAAUCCUAGCACUUUGGGAGGCUGAGAGGGGCGGAUCACCUGAGGUCAGGUGUUUGAGACCAACCUGGCCAACAUGGCGAAACCCUGUCUCUACUAAAAACACAAAAAAGCCGGGCAUGGUGGCACGUGCCUGUAAUCCCAGCUACUCCGCAGGCUGAGGCAGGAGAAUCGCUUGAACUGGGGAGGUGGAGGUUGCAGUGAGCUGAGAUCACACCACUGCACUCCAGCCUGGGUGACAGAGGGAGACUCCGUCUCUAAAAAACAACCAAAAAAACAAAAACAAGAAAACAAUGCAUAGCAAGCUGUAAUGUUGUUUGUGUUUUAGAAUAGUAGAGGUCUGGAAAGUUGUUUGCUUUUCCCCAGUUUUUUUUGCUGUGUUACCUCUGAAGGAAAUUGAGGUAGAGGGGAGAGUUAGAAGGAAUAUUUGGCUUUUCUGUUUUAUAUCCUCCUGGGUGAAAUUUUUAUAACAAACAUGUACUGGUGUAUUUUGAAUGUUUUUAAAAUUUUAUAUUUCAGAAUAAUAAAAUAUAAAUUCAAACUGCAA
Long non-coding RNA from Piliocolobus tephrosceles (Ugandan red Colobus), 3886 nucleotides. RefSeq lists it as uncharacterized. Lineage: Eukaryota; Metazoa; Chordata; Mammalia; Primates; Cercopithecidae. The transcript has 2 exons. The record is from RefSeq and is a predicted model, not a curated record.